This is an RNA transcript of Lemur catta (Ring-tailed lemur), 6023 nucleotides long. It is a transcript of the gene named codanin 1, with no coding region annotated. The transcript has 30 exons. Lineage: Eukaryota; Metazoa; Chordata; Mammalia; Primates; Lemuridae. The record is from RefSeq and is a predicted model, not a curated record.
CCGGGAUGGCGGUGGUUUUGGAGUCGCUGCUGCGAGAGGAGGUGUCGGUGGAAGCGGCCGUGCGGUGGAUCGCGCGCAGCGGCCAGAGUUCGGAGGACGACCCUGGGGAGGCGGCCGCGCUGAGCGCACUCCAGCCGCUGCGGAAAGAAUUCGUACCGUUCCUGCUGAACUUCCUGAGAGAGCAGAGCAGCCGCGUCCUCCCGCAGGGCCCGCCGACCCCCGCCAAGGCCCCGGGCGCCUCGGCAGCCUUGCCGGCGAGGGCGGGAGGCCAGCCGCGGGGCAGCCGCGGGGCGCGCAGCCAGCUUUUUCCUCCGACCGAAGCCCCCAGCACCGCCGCCGAGGCCCCUCUGGCCCGCCGCGGGGGCAGGAGGCGGUGCCCGGGGCCGACCCGCGAGCGAGGGGGCCGCGGCCCGGGGGGCCCGGAGGAGGGGGUCGGCGGGGAGAGCGUGCCCUGGGCCGGGGGCCGGAGGCUUAGGGGUUCUGGCAGCCCCAGCGGUCCCAGCCUCGCACUCUCUGAUCCACCAAACCUCAGCAACCUGGAGGAGUUUCCUCCCGUAGGCUCGGUUCCUCCCGGCCCUGCAGGCAGGACGAAGCCUUCACGCAGGAUCAACCCAACUCCGGUGAGCGAAGAGCGGUCACUCUCCAAGCCUAAGACCUGCUUCACCUCACCCCCAAUCAGCUGUGUCCCCAGUUCCCAACCCUCAGCCCUGGACACUAGCCCUUGGGGCCUUGGCCUUCCCCCAGGGUGCAGAAGUCUGCAAGAGGAGCGGGAGAUGCUCAGGAAGGAGCGCUCUAAGCAGUUGCUGCAGUCACCUGUCCCCACCUGUCCCACCCCAGAAUCGGGGUCGCCACUCCCCAGCCGGACAGGAAGCCUCACAGAUGAGCCUGCUGACCCUGCCAGAGUGUCUUCCCGCCAGCGCCUGGAGCUGGUAGCCCUUGUCUACUCCUCAUGCAUUGCUGAGAACCUGGUACCAAAUCUCUUCUUGGAGCUUUUCUUCGUCCUUCAGCUCCUUACUGCCCGGAGGAUGGUGACUGCCAAGCACAGUGACCGUGAACUGAGUCCAGAUGCCCUAGACUCCCUGGAAAAUCCGCUGUUUCAGAGCAUCCACGAUUGUGUCUUCUUUGCAGUGCAGGUUUUGGAACAUCAGUUUCAGGUCCUUUCCCAUCUGGACAAAGGGACCUUGAAGCUGUUGGCUGAGAAUGAGCGGCUGCUGUGCUUCUCUCCAGCUCUGCAAGGCCGCCUUCGAGCUGCCUAUGAAGGCAGCGUUGCCAAGGUCUCUCUGGAGAUGCCACCCUCUACGCAAGCUGUCUCCUUUCAGCCAGAGACUGACAAUCGUGCCAACUUCUCCAGUGACCGAGCCUUUCACACUUUUAAAAAACAGAGGGAUGUGUUCUAUGAGGUGCUUCGAGAGUGGGAAGAUCAUCAUGAGGAGCCCGGCUGGGAUUUUGAGAAGGGCUUGGGCAGCAGGAUCAGAGCCAUGAUGGGUCAACUCUCCACAGCCUGCAGCCACAGCCACUUUGUUCGGCUUUUCCAAAAACAACUUCUCCAGAUGUGUCAGCACCCUGGUGGUGCUGGGGCUGCUGUCUUGGGCGAGGCUCCAGAUGUGCUGAGCAUGCUGGGAGCUGACAAGCUGGGGCGGCUGCGGCGCCUGCAGGAACGGCUGGUGGCCCCUCAGAGCAGUGGGGGGCCCUGCCCGCCCCCCACCUUCCCAGGCUGUCAAGGCUUCUUUAGGGACUUCAUCCUUAGUGCCAGCAGCUUCCAGUUUAACCAGCAUCUCAUGGACAGUCUGAGCUUGAAGAUCCGGGAGCUCAACGGCCUGGCCCUGCCUCAGCACGAGCCCAGUGACGACGGGGAGUCAGAUGUGGACUGGCAGGGUGAACGGAGGCAAUUCGCUGUGGUGCUGCUUAGCCUGAGGCUUUUGGCUAAAUUCCUGGGCUUUGUGGCUUUCCUGCCAUACCGGGGGCCUGAACCCCCCCCGACCGGUGAGCUUCAGGACUCCAUUCUGGCCCUGAGGAGCCAGGUCCCUCCGGUCCUGGAUGUGCGCGCUCUGCUGCAGCAGGGGCUGCGGGCCCACCGGGCGGUGCUCACCGUGCCCUGGCUGGUGGAGUUCCUUUCCUUCGCCGACCACGUCGUGCCCUUGCUGGACUAUUACCGGAGCGUCUUCACUCUCCUGCUGCACCUGCAUCGGAGCUUGGUCUUAUCACAGGAGAAUGAAGGGGAGAUGUGUUUCCUGAACAAGCUGCUGCUCCUUGCUGUCCUGGGCUGGCUUUUCCAGAUUCCCACAGUCCCCGAGGACUUGUUCUUUCUGGAGGAGGGUCAGUUGGAUCCCUUUGAGGUGGACACGGUAGCCUCAGAGCAUGGCUUGGACAGUGUGCCUGUGGUGGACCAGCAGCUGCUCUACACCUGCUGCCCCUACAUCGGAGAGCUCCGGAAACUGCUUGCUUCAUGGGUGUCUGGCAGCAGUGGGCGGAGUGGGGGCUUUGUGAGGAAAAUCACCCCCACCACCACCACCGGCCUGGGAGCCCAGCCUCCCCAGACCAGCCAGGGGCUGCAGGCACAGCUCGCCCAGGCCUUCUUCCACAACCAGCCGCCCUCCCUGCGCAGGACUGUGGAGUUUGUGGCAGAGAGAAUUGGAUCGAACUGUGUCAAACACAUCAAGGCCACGCUGGUGGCAGAUCUGGUGCACCAGGCAGAGUUACUUCUCCAGGAGCAGCUGGUGACGCAGGGACAGGAAGGGGGAGAUCCAGCCCAGCUGUUGGAGAUCUUGUGUUCCCAGCUGUGCCCCCACGGGGCCCAGGCCCUGACCCAGGGGCGGGAGUUCUGCCAAAGGAAGAGCCCCGGGGCCGUGCGGGCGCUGCUUCCAGAGGAGACCCCGGCAGCUGUUCUAAGCAGUGCAGAGAGCAUUGCUGUGGGGCUCGCGACAGAGAAAGCUUGUGCUUGGUUGUCUGCCAACAUCACAGCACUGAUUAGGAGGGAGGUGAAGGCGGCAGUGAGUCGCACACUCCGAGCCCAGGGUCCUGAACCUGCUGCCUGGGGGGAGCGGAGGGGCUGCUCCCACGCCUGUGAGCACCACGCUCCCCUCCCCUCCCACCUCAUCUCCGAGAUCAAAGACGUGCUCUCCCUGGCCGUGGGGCCGCGGGACCCCGAGGAGGGCGUCUCCCCGGAGCAUCUGGAGCAGCUCUUAGGCCAGUUGGGCCAGACGCUGCGGUGCCGCCAGUUCCUGUGCCCACCUGCUGAGCAGCAUCUGGCGAAGUGCUCCGUGGAGUUAGCCUCCCUCCUUGUUGCAGACCAAAUUCCCGUCCUAGGCCCCCCUGCACAGCACAGGCUGGAGCGAGGGCAGGCACGAAGGCUUCUGCUCAUGCUGCUUGCCCUGUGGAAGGACGACUUUCAGGGCCCAGUUCCACUACAGCUGCUGCUGAGCCCAAGAAAUGUGGGGCUUCUGGCAGACACACGGCCAAGGGAGUGGGAUCUGCUGCUGUUCCUGCUCCGGGAGCUGGUGGAGAAGGGUCUGAUGGGCCGGCUGGAGAUCGAGGCCUGCCUGGGCAGCCUCCGGGAGGCCCAGUGGCCAGGGGACUUCUCUGAAGAAUUAGCAACACUGUUUAAUCUGUUUCUGGCAGAGCCUCAUCUGCCAGAACCCCAGCUGAGAGUUUGUGAGCUGGUGCAGCCAAAUCGGGGGGCCGUGCUGGCCCAGAGCUAGGACUGGGAAGGGACCCUGCCUUGAACGUCUCACCAGAGCCCUGGAACCCUGCAUGGGCCUGAGGAGGAGGCCUGAGAGCCCAGUGCCACCCAGGUGCCCAGUGCUGGCCCUUGCUGGUGCGAGCAUAGCUGGCUCUAGAACCAGAACUCCUGCUCAGAGGGGAAGGAAAUGUGGGCUGCUUGGCGUCCCACGGCCUGCAGGUUUGCCGUCUGAAUCCUCGAGGAAGGAGCGUUCACCUGAUUCAGGAUUGUGGGGGAAGAGCCUAGAGACUCCAGCCCUGGAGCAGAAGAGUUGGCAUUCAUGGCUUGGAUACUAAGCGAAACGAGGGGUGUGGUCUUGUCAACACAGGACUCAAGCCUCACUUGCUGCUAUCCCAGCAUCUCUUAAAACUGUGGUCUGGGAAAUCAUGACAGAGAGGAUCCAGCUGAGCUGUGACAUGGGACCAGCAGGAGAGAAAAGCCUAAAGCUCUCAAAGAUGUUGGGAGCUGGCCCAGGCCCGGCUUAAGGCCCACUGAGCUAAAACCAAGCUCUUGGGAAUCUGAAUGGAAACUUAACGUGGUCCUGGUGAAGGAAACUUCUGGUCACCUGUGUGAGCCCUAAAGGCCACUCUAAGGAUUAUGGAAGACAGGCAGCUAAUGGACCAGGGAACUAAUGAGAUUCCUUCUUAUGUAUCUGCUCUCUACUAGUUUUCUAAACCAGCAGCUUUUAAAGUGUGGUUCCCAGACCAGGGUCACCUGGGACUUAGAAAUACAAAUAUACUAGGGCCCCUCCCCAGGCCUCAUGAAUGAGCAGCUUGGGUAGGGCCCAGCCUCAGGUGCUAACAAAGCCUUCAAGUGACACUGAUGUGUGCUACAAAUUUGAGAACCACCCAUCUAAAUCAAAAUCUGACCUCACUUUUACAUUUUGCUACAAGAUCAAUUAAUAUUCUGACUUACAAUCAGGUCUGGUAUGUGGCUUCUCAAGUAAGGAGGAUAAGGUCACUACUUGGUUAUCCAUCCAUUAAGAGUCCCAUAGCUGGCUCUGCCUCCGAGCCCCAGAGCACUGUGGGCAUAGCGAGGGGUGGCAGUGACUUUUGGAAUCCUCACUCCCAGUCUCACUUGGGCUGUAGCUGGACUGAUCUGGUUGCUGUUUACCUUGCAAAGCAGUGCUGAGCUCACAGGAAGCACUUAGUACAUACAUGUAAACUGAAUAGCUUGAAACUGGGCCAUGAGUAGGUAUUGCCAGUGUGAUCUCCAGGCUAAAUUCUGCCACAAAUAACACACACGGGCUAUCCCAGGACAGUCUUCACUUCAGGUGAAAGUACACAUAAGACUUACAAUUUACAAAUAUUCUGACCGUUUUGGUCAAUAGUCUUAAAUGUUUAUAUGAAAAGAGGCGGCAAUACAUAAAUAGGGUGUUAAAUAUAUCAAAUGUCACCAAAAAAAUUAACCAGAAAAAUAAAAGUUUAAAAGCAAUUUUAAAAACCAUCAAUAAUAUAUAAAUAACUUAAUCUGAGGUAAGAGAAAAAGGCCCUGCAAACACUUUUAGAAAAAUAAAUCUCUGCUGCACUAUACAGAAAUUUCCCCUUCUACCCUAUCUUCUCAAGCCCCAUAUGGUUACCCACUUCCACCAAAGAUUUUGGGCGCCAAAACUAAAGAUGGGAAUCUCUCCCAUCCCUACCACUUCCAGGUAAACAUACAGAAUAUUCAGAGGUCACAUUCAGCUAGGCUAAGGUACAAGCAAACUGAAUCCACUCUCCCUCUCACCCCAAAAUAGGUGGGGCCAGGGCAGCAUCAUGGAAUGCUCAAGAGACCACCGCUGAAGGAGGUGAGGCAAGCAACCAGCAUCUAGCUGCCAGCCUCCCUCACCAGUCCUCAAAGACCCAGGCCCCCACCCGGACCCCAAAUCUGUCCCACCUGGUUCCACAGUGGUCUCCCAUUUUACUGAGCUCAGACUGACAGCUCCAUAACCGAGCAUCACUCAACACUACAGACUCUGAUGCCAAGACCCGAGCGUCCUCUCCUGGGAGGGAAAGGAAAAGGGAAAGAAAAAACAAAAAUGAACAAUAAACAAUUUUGCAAAAAUUCAAGAGGGAGAAAAGAUCCUGAAUCAGUGUUCUGGUUUGUGCAGCUAUUUUUUUAAACCCUUUUUCUGUUUGGUGUUUUCUAAUACUCCAUCACACAGUGGAGCUAAAUGCUGGAGGCAGACUCAGAGCAGGGUCUUGGCCGAUGGCUGCUUGCUUCCCUGCAGCUCUGCAGUCCCCCAACUCUGCUGGCUGUGCCCAGUCCUGGUCCUUGAGUGGCUUGUCUGCCGUAGAGUCCCAAAGACAGGAAAUAAAGAUGAGAA